RNAcentral lists this ribosomal RNA (2820 nucleotides) under Escherichia coli. RNAcentral's name for it is "bacterial LSU rRNA". It matches the Rfam family "Bacterial large subunit ribosomal RNA". The record is from RNAcentral. Lineage: Bacteria; Pseudomonadati; Pseudomonadota; Gammaproteobacteria; Enterobacterales; Enterobacteriaceae.
UUAAGCGACUAAGCGUACACGGUGGAUGCCCUGGCAGUCAGAGGCGAUGAAGGACGUGCUAAUCUGCGAUAAGCGUCGGUAAGGUGAUAUGAACCGUUAUAACCGGCGAUUUCCGAAUGGGGAAACCCAGUGUGUUUCGACACACUAUCAUUAACUGAAUCCAUAGGUUAAUGAGGCGAACCGGGGGAACUGAAACAUCUAAGUACCCCGAGGAAAAGAAAUCAACCGAGAUUCCCCCAGUAGCGGCGAGCGAACGGGGAGCAGCCCAGAGNNUGUGAGCUCGAUGAGUAGGGCGGGACACGUGGUAUCCUGUCUGAAUAUGGGGGGACCAUCCUCCAAGGCUAAAUACUCCUGACUGACCGAUAGUGAACCAGUACCGUGAGGGAAAGGCGAAAAGAACCCCGGCGAGGGGAGUGAAAAAGAACCUGAAACCGUGUACGUACAAGCAGUGGGAGCACGCUUAGGCGUGUGACUGCGUACCUUUUGUAUAAUGGGUCAGCGACUUAUAUUCUGUAGCAAGGUUAACCGAAUAGGGGAGCCGAAGGGAAACCGAGUCUUAACUGGGCGUUAAGUUGCAGGGUAUAGACCCGAAACCCGGUGAUCUAGCCAUGGGCAGGUUGAAGGUUGGGUAACACUAACUGGAGGACCGAACCGACUAAUGUUGAAAAAUUAGCGGAUGACUUGUGGCUGGGGGUGAAAGGCCAAUCAAACCGGGAGAUAGCUGGUUCUCCCCGAAAGCUAUUUAGGUAGCGCCUCGUGAAUUCAUCUCCGGGGGUAGAGCACUGUUUCGGCAAGGGGGUCAUCCCGACUUACCAACCCGAUGCAAACUGCGAAUACCGGAGAAUGUUAUCACGGGAGACACACGGCGGGUGCUAACGUCCGUCGUGAAGAGGGAAACAACCCAGACCGCCAGCUAAGGUCCCAAAGUCAUGGUUAAGUGGGAAACGAUGUGGGAAGGCCCAGACAGCCAGGAUGUUGGCUUAGAAGCAGCCAUCAUUUAAAGAAAGCGUAAUAGCUCACUGGUCGAGUCGGCCUGCGCGGAAGAUGUAACGGGGCUAAACCAUGCACCGAAGCUGCGGCAGCGACGCUGAUGCGUUGUUGGGUAGGGGAGCGUUCUGUAAGCCUGUGAAGGUGUGCUGUGAGGCAUGCUGGAGGUAUCAGAAGUGCGAAUGCUGACAUAAGUAACGAUAAAGCGGGUGAAAAGCCCGCUCGCCGGAAGACCAAGGGUUCCUGUCCAACGUUAAUCGGGGCAGGGUGAGUCGACCCCUAAGGCGAGGCCGAAAGGCGUAGUCGAUGGGAAACAGGUUAAUAUUCCUGUACUUGGUGUUACUGCGAAGGGGGGACGGAGAAGGCUAUGUUGGCCGGGCGACGGUUGUCCCGGUUUAAGCGUGUAGGCUGGUUUUCCAGGCAAAUCCGGAAAAUCAAGGCUGAGGCGUGAUGACGAGGCACUACGGUGCUGAAGCAACAAAUGCCCUGCUUCCAGGAAAAGCCUCUAAGCAUCAGGUAACAUCAAAUCGUACCCCAAACCGACACAGGUGGUCAGGUAGAGAAUACCAAGGCGCUUGAGAGAACUCGGGUGAAGGAACUAGGCAAAAUGGUGCCGUAACUUCGGGAGAAGGCACGCUGAUAUGUAGGUGAAGCGACUUGCUCGUGGAGCUGAAAUCAGUCGAAGAUACCAGCUGGNUGCAACUGUUUAUUAAAAACACAGCACUGUGCAAACACGAAAGUGGACGUAUACGGUGUGACGCCUGCCCGGUGCCGGAAGGUUAAUUGAUGGGGUCAGCGCAAGCGAAGCUCUUGAUCGAAGCCCCGGUAAACGGCGGCCGUAACUAUAACGGUCCUAAGGUAGCGAAAUUCCUUGUCGGGUAAGUUCCGACCUGCACGAAUGGCGUAAUGAUGGCCAGGCUGUCUCCACCCGAGACUCAGUGAAAUUGAACUCGCUGUGAAGAUGCAGUGUACCCGCGGCAAGACGGAAAGACCCCGUGAACCUUUACUAUAGCUUGACACUGAACAUUGAGCCUUGAUGUGUAGGAUAGGUGGGAGGCUUAGAAGUGUGGACGCCAGUCUGCAUGGAGCCGACCUUGAAAUACCACCCUUUAAUGUUUGAUGUUCUAACGUUGACCCGUAAUCCGGGUUGCGGACAGUGUCUGGUGGGUAGUUUGACUGGGGCGGUCUCCUCCUAAAGAGUAACGGAGGAGCACGAAGGUUGGCUAAUCCUGGUCGGACAUCAGGAGGUUAGUGCAAUGGCAUAAGCCAGCUUGACUGCGAGCGUGACGGCGCGAGCAGGUGCGAAAGCAGGUCAUAGUGAUCCGGUGGUUCUGAAUGGAAGGGCCAUCGCUCAACGGAUAAAAGGUACUCCGGGGAUAACAGGCUGAUACCGCCCAAGAGUUCAUAUCGACGGCGGUGUUUGGCACCUCGAUGUCGGCUCAUCACAUCCUGGGGCUGAAGUAGGUCCCAAGGGUAUGGCUGUUCGCCAUUUAAAGUGGUACGCGAGCUGGGUUUAGAACGUCGUGAGACAGUUCGGUCCCUAUCUGCCGUGGGCGCUGGAGAACUGAGGGGGGCUGCUCCUAGUACGAGAGGACCGGAGUGGACGCAUCACUGGUGUUCGGGUUGUCAUGCCAAUGGCACUGCCCGGUAGCUAAAUGCGGAAGAGAUAAGUGCUGAAAGCAUCUAAGCACGAAACUUGCCCCGAGAUGAGUUCUCCCUGACCCUUUAAGGGUCCUGAAGGAACGUUGAAGACGACGACGUUGAUAGGCCGGGUGUGUAAGCGCAGCGAUGCGUUGAGCUAACCGGUACUAAUGAACCGUGAGGCUUAACCUU